Molecule: long non-coding RNA, 790 nt
Organism: Gambusia affinis (western mosquitofish)
Lineage: Eukaryota; Metazoa; Chordata; Actinopteri; Cyprinodontiformes; Poeciliidae
Exons: 4
Source: RefSeq, a predicted model, not a curated record
UUUAAUUUAAUUCCAUCUUGUUUAAAGUCUCAUCUCAUGGCAUGCAGUGUUCUCACUCUCAAAUUUGAAUCAUUUACCUGAAAGCUCCAGGGGUUUCUCUGAAAGAAUGAUGAAAACUGAAGAAAAAAAACCCUUCCACUUCGCCCUGUUAUAUAUCCAGGCUUCGUGACAUUCCCUUGCUCUUAAACAGAAACACUUGGAGGUCUGCUAUCUAAUCAUACUCACUGUUUUUUGCUGACUGGGAAAAGGUUUACCUCCACGUCCACCAGGAUGGAACAUGGAGAUUGGAUGAGAUUUGUCUCUGGAUGGAGAACCUCAUUAUUCUCCACCGCAUCCAGCUGCUGCUUUCCUGGCCAAGGAGACACGAACAGUUUGCAGAUAUAUUUGCUGUCCCUGUUCAGUCUUCAGGUCAGUGAUGUCUGGCUGAAAUGUUGGCAUAUUUUUGGGAUAUGAUUUACUGGGCCAGUCUUCAAAACAAAAUGUGCAAUGAUAUUUAAUAAUUUAGUUUUUUAACCAAACUUAUUAAAUAUUCGCAGUAUUUCACUGAAUGUUCUGGAGCAAAUUUUAAUAUAACUUUUUGCAUCAUUUCUUUGGUGCAGUGAGUGUAUUUUGAAGUGUGUAUAUAUACCUUACUUAUCCUUUUCUUUACAUUUUGUUGCUGUAAUAUGUUUUCAUUUAAUGCUCCGUUUUAAAGCACUUUUUUUCUGUGAACAGUGCUCUGCAAGUAAAACGUACCCUUUUACUUACUAAUUCCAGGUUUUUCAAAAGCUCUUUGCCUUUGAUUUUUAUU